This 298-nucleotide unclassified non-coding RNA is filed under the name uncultured fungus. RNAcentral's name for it is "sequence contains ITS1". The stretch from base 1 to 105 matches the Rfam family "5.8S ribosomal RNA", at positions 50 to 154 of the family's 154-position model. The record is from RNAcentral. Lineage: Eukaryota; Fungi.
GAAAUGCGAUAAGUAAUGUGAAUUGCAGAAUUCAGUGAAUCAUCGAGUCUUUGAACGCACAUUGCGCCCCCUGGUAUUCCGGGGGGCAUGCCUGUCCGAGCGUCAUUUCAACCAUCAAGCCCCCAGGCUUGUGUUGGGGCACUGCGGCCGCCGCAGGCCCCCAAAAGCAGUGGCGGACUCGCAGUCACACCGAGCGCAGUAGCACAUCUCGCUCAGGGCGUGGCGGCGGGCACCGGCCGUAAAACACCCACUACCAAAGGUUGACCUCGGAUCAGGUAGGAAUACCCGCUGAACUUAA